Molecule: ribosomal RNA, 482 nt
Filed under: uncultured bacterium
Lineage: Bacteria
Description: bacterial SSU rRNA
Rfam family: Bacterial small subunit ribosomal RNA
Source: RNAcentral
AAUCAACGCUGGCGGCGUGCCUCAGACAUGCAAGUCGAACGAUUAAAGCUCUCUUCGGAGAGUGUAUAGAGUGGCGCACGGGUGAGUAACACGUAAGUAAUCUACCCUCGAGUGGGGAAUAACGUCCGGAAACGGACGCUAAUACCGCAUAAUGCAGCGGCACCGCAAGGUGACAGUUGUUAAAGAUUUUAUCGCUUGAGGAGGAGCUUGCGGCAGAUUAGCAGUUGGUAAGGUAAUGGCUUACCAAGGCUACGAUCUGUAACCGGUCUAAGAGGACGGUCGGUCACACUGACACUGAAUAACGGGUCAGACUCCUACGGGAGGCAGCAGUCGGGAAUUUUGGGCAAUGGGCGAAAGCCUGACCCAGCAACGCCGCGUGAAGGAUGAAGUAUUUCGGUAUGUAAACUUCGAAAGAAUGGGAAGAAUCAAUGACGGUACCAUUUAUAAGGUCCGGCUAACUACGUGCCAGCAGCCGCGGUAAC